Molecule: non-coding RNA, 82 nt
Organism: Hysterangium stoloniferum
Lineage: Eukaryota; Fungi; Basidiomycota; Agaricomycetes; Hysterangiales; Hysterangiaceae
Source: the annotation of a GenBank genome assembly
UCUCAGGUAGUAUAGUGGUUAGUAUUCGCGCCUGUCAUUAUUGCGAACGCGCGAGACCGGGGUUCAAUUCCCCGCCUGAGAG